UGGGGAAUAUUGCACAAUGGGCGAAAGCCUGAUGCAGCAACGCCGCGUGAGGGACGACGGCCUUCGGGUUGUAAACCUCUUUUAGCAGGGAAGAAGCGAAAGUGACGGUACCUGCAGAAAAAGCACCGGCUAACUACGUG
This 140-nucleotide ribosomal RNA is filed under the name uncultured bacterium. Its description in RNAcentral is "partial 16S ribosomal RNA". It matches the Rfam family "Bacterial small subunit ribosomal RNA", at positions 355 to 507 of the family's 1533-position model. RNAcentral also lists the same sequence under 1 other name. The record is from RNAcentral.